This is a long non-coding RNA of Lactuca sativa (garden lettuce), 1478 nucleotides long. RefSeq lists it as uncharacterized. NCBI's taxonomy places the organism in Eukaryota, Viridiplantae, Streptophyta, Magnoliopsida, Asterales, Asteraceae. The record is from RefSeq and is a predicted model, not a curated record.
UAUCAACCAUAUCAUGUUCACUGUCAAUGGAAAAGACGGAAAAAAAACUAGAUUUUAUUAAUGACACUAAUCAAGCUUUGAUUUUCAAAUGAAAUAGGUGGAGGGGAAAGGAUAGGGGUGUGAGAGGUGGUGGGUCAUGGGUCCUACUAAACUAUAAAUCAUAAUAUUUAUUUUUUUUAAUUUAUAAAUAUUAAAAAGAAUGAAAAGGAAAUAGAAAAUGUCAAUAUAGUAAUUUUAUGUCUACUUUUAACCAAAUGAGGAAAGGUCUGAAUUAACAUUUUGGCACCUGCGAAGGACGAUUCGUGUAAUUUACUUUUUUUUUUCAAAUUAAAGCAUUUUUUUCUUAAUAUUAAUGGUCUAUAGCCCUGUUACCGCAAGGUUAACCGGUUCAACCGGAACUGGUCAGAUUAAUAGUUUUAAGAAGCCCAAAAACUGGCUGUUAUUGAAGCGGUAAAAAAACGGACGGUUCACAAAAAACCGAGUUAAAGCAGAGUUGUUCGCCCAAAAAACCCGGCCUAAAUAAUUAUUAUACAAGAGGCAUUUAGAAAACAAAAUCCGGCCUAGAAUAAGCAAUAUGCGUUUUCUUUUGUUUAAGUUGAAUCAAUUUGCGUUUGUAUAUAUAAAACAAUAUAAGCCUAUUUUUUCAUUACACCCACCGAUAUGGGAUAAAACACAACGCAAACUAGGAUAUCUUCUUUCCUUUUUCUACUUUUCUUCUUGGCUCCUAAAACAAACAUAUAUCCUUGCUUCUCGUUCAAUAAUCAAUACUUUCAAUCAAUUGUUAAUUUUUAAAGAAAAUAAUUAAAUAACUUUGAUGCUUUUAUACAUGUAUAUAGUUAUAAUAUUCUAUACAGUCCGGCGUUUACAGUUUUCAGGAUCGGUCCAACCGGUUAGACCAAUUGAAUCAUCGAAGGCUGUUUGUUUACCUCUUAAUUGCAAAAUUAAGAGGUAAUAUCUUAAAAAUUCAGAUUCAUUUUAUUUGUUUGCGUCUUAUUUUUUACCUCUUAAAAUUAAAAAGACCUCUUCAUUUUUCAGAUAGGAAACAAAGUCUGAAUUAAAAAAAACAUGCGUUUCUUUUUUUGCCCUAAGACACAAUCGCACGCCUCGCCUCCUCUUCUCUUCUUCCUGCACUGCGACUUCUUCCCCCUUCGCGUCAGCUUCCCUUCCCAACUGCAUACUCCGACGACACUGCUGAACGACGCCGCCUAACCAAGCAACGUCGACGGCGCUGCAACCUAGCAAGGCCGACGCUACUGCACCUGCUCGCGUCUGCAAAUCGACAGCAAAGAUAAGGGUCAAAGCAAGAAGUGUUCAAAAAGAAAUUAAGUUAAAUUUCUUUAACUCCAUUAAUGUUCAAAACAUCCAUGCCAUUUCUUUUUUCUUAAGAACUUUUUGUAAUAAAGAUUGCUUUUUUUUUUGUAAAGACUACUUGUACAUAACUAUUGGGUAGUAAUUAUAUUGAAUUAUUAGGUUGCUUA